RNAcentral lists this ribosomal RNA (341 nucleotides) under uncultured bacterium. Its description in RNAcentral is "bacterial SSU rRNA". It matches the Rfam family "Bacterial small subunit ribosomal RNA", at positions 167 to 507 of the family's 1533-position model. The record is from RNAcentral.
UACCGCAUACGAUCUAGUGGAUAGAAGCGGGGGAUCGCAAGACCUCGCGCGAUUGGAGCGGCCGAUAUCAGAUUAGGUAGUUGGUGGGGUAAAGGCUCACCAAGCCAACGAUCUGUAGCUGGUCUGAGAGGACGACCAGCCACACUGGAACUGAGACACGGUCCAGACUCCUACGGGAGGCAGCAGUGAGGAAUAUUGGACAAUGGGCGCAAGCCUGAUCCAGCCAUGCCGCGUGCAGGAUGACGGUCCUAUGGAUUGUAAACUGCUUUUGUACAGGAAGAAACACUACUUCGUGAAGUAGCUUGACGGUACUGUAAGAAUAAGGAUCGGCUAACUCCGUG